This 253-nucleotide ribosomal RNA is filed under the name uncultured bacterium. RNAcentral's name for it is "partial 16S ribosomal RNA". It matches the Rfam family "Bacterial small subunit ribosomal RNA", at positions 524 to 776 of the family's 1533-position model. The record is from RNAcentral.
UACGGAGGGGGCUAGCGUUGUUCGGAAUUACUGGGCGUAAAGCGCACGUAGGCGGUUCGUUAUGUCGGAUGUGAAAGCCCUUGGCUUAACCGAGGAAGUGCAUCCGAAACUGGCGAGCUAGAGUACGAAAGAGGAUCGCGGAAUUCCCGGUGUAGAGGUGAAAUUCGUAGAUAUCGGGAGGAACACCGGUGGCGAAGGCGGCGAUCUGGGUCGAUACUGACGCUGAGGUGCGAAAGCGUGGGGAGCAAACAGG